RNAcentral lists this ribosomal RNA (253 nucleotides) under uncultured bacterium. Its description in RNAcentral is "partial 16S ribosomal RNA". It matches the Rfam family "Bacterial small subunit ribosomal RNA", at positions 524 to 776 of the family's 1533-position model. The record is from RNAcentral.
UACAGAGGUCCCAAGCGUUGUUCGGAUUCACUGGGCGUAAAGGGUGCGUAGGUGGCGAGGUAAGUCGGAUGUGAAAGCUCGGAGCUCAACUCCGAAAUGGCAUUGGAAACUACCUUGCUCGAGGGUUGGAGGGGGGACUGGAAUGCUUGGUGUAGCAGUGAAAUGCGUAGAUAUCAAGCGGAACACCAGUGGCGAAGGCGGCGACCUGGGUAGAUACUGACGCUGAGGCGCGAAAGCGUGGGGAGCAAACAGG